CCUACGGGAGGCAGCAGUGAGGAAUAUUGGUCAAUGGGCGCGAGCCUGAACCAGCCAAGUAGCGUGAGGGAGGACGGCCCUACGGGUUGUAAACCUCUUUUGCCGGGGAGCAACGGGCACCACGUGUGGCGUCACUGAGAGUACCCGGAGAAAAAGCAUCGGCUAACUCCGUGCCAGCAGCCGCGGUAAUACGGAGGAUGCGAGCGUUAUCCGGAUUUAUUGGGUUUAAAGGGUGCGUAGGCGGAUCGUUAAGUCAGUGGUCAAAUUGAGGGGCCCAACCCCUUCCCGCCAUUGAAACUGGCGUUCUUGAGUGGAAGAGAAGUAUGCGGAAUGCGUGGUGUGGCGGUGAAAUGCAUAGAUAUCACGCAGAACCCCGAUUGCGAGGGCAGCAUGCCGGCUUCCGACUGACGCUGACGCACGAAGGCGUGGGGUUCGAACGGGAUUGGUUACCCCUGUGGU
This 459-nucleotide ribosomal RNA is filed under the name uncultured bacterium. Its description in RNAcentral is "partial 16S ribosomal RNA". It matches the Rfam family "Bacterial small subunit ribosomal RNA", at positions 338 to 794 of the family's 1533-position model. The record is from RNAcentral.